UAGGGAAUCUUCCACAAUGGGCGAAAGCCUGAUGGAGCAACGCCGCGUGUGUGAUGAAGGGUUUCGGCUCGUAAAACACUGUUGUAAGAGAAGAACAUAUCUGAGAGUAACUGUUCAGGUAUUGACGGUAUUUAACCAGAAAGCCACGGCUAACUACGUGCCAC
RNAcentral lists this ribosomal RNA (164 nucleotides) under uncultured bacterium. RNAcentral describes it as "partial 16S rRNA". It matches the Rfam family "Bacterial small subunit ribosomal RNA", at positions 355 to 511 of the family's 1533-position model. The record is from RNAcentral.